Molecule: long non-coding RNA, 2549 nt
Organism: Gallus gallus (chicken)
Lineage: Eukaryota; Metazoa; Chordata; Aves; Galliformes; Phasianidae
Source: Ensembl
UGCUCAAUCACUGCUUCAAGCUGUGACUCAGCGUUUCCUCUACACUCCUCCAUUCAUUAUUUUCAAGUUUCUGUUUCAUGGAGAAUAUUGGAGGAAAAAAGGUCAUUUUUAAUUGACAAAAAAUUAUUUCUCCUGCUUCCAUUCUUAAAUCAAAGAUCUGCUGUGACAGCUAGGUUCACACGUGGCUCAGUCUGAUAUAUCUGAGAGCUGUUCCUGCCCAUCAGUAGUGGGUUUCUCCUGGGGUCCUGCUUGUGAUACAGCUGUGAUCCAACAUCAGUAAGCAUAAGGUAGUCUGUUGCUAUGUUCGGUGACUUGUUGGUCGGCGUGUCUUCAUGUUAUUGCCUCAUCCUUGAGCUGAUAAUGUGAAGACAUAUCAAGAGCCACUGGUGGUUGCAUGGUAGAACUUCCAGAUUUCUCUUCCUGCCACUGUAGCCUAGAGAUGCAGGAGCACUGUAGAAGUUGUAUUUCUACAUUGGUUACAUCACUCAAUGAAAGGAGACUUUGCAAAUAUAUCAGCACAUCUUAAGAAGGGCAGCACAGUGUGCUGGCUUCGGCUUCUCACCUUGAGUAACUUCAAACUACUGAAUUCCAGGGGGAAGUAAAGAAAGGUGCAAGUGUGUGUGAGAAAGAGCAAGAGUGAGCCUUUUAAGUAGGAGAAGAUAAUGCAGCUUUCAAAUCACUUCUCCUGCAAGUGAAAAUUACCUCGUGGUGUAGACAAAUACUGGCCCUGCCUGUUUCCCUCUAGGGACUUUAUCACUGUCCAUCAUUACAAUCUCUACAGCCCGGGUUUUGGGAAAGAUAAGAUUAUUGAAAACCCAAGGCAAAACACUCUUGAAAAAUGGCUUUUUACAAUAAACAAGAAAGGCAGCCUCAUGCAGAGGAGAGGCUGUGCACUGAGGAUGACAGCCGUUCCCAUGACAACGCCAAAAACCUUUCACCAUUGGGUAUCAACAGGAGAACAUCUCCCACGGCAAGCGCAGGAAGCCAGGAGCCUGCUUAGUCCUCGUCUCAUAAAUCAUCCUGAUGGACAGCACUGAUCAGCACUGCCAGUUGUGCACGUGCAGCUCACCUCCCAGGAACCACCUGCCUUCGGAUGAAAGGAAGACCAAAUAAACUUAAAGCUCCAGAGCUGGCUGUAUGUAAAAGGAAAAUUAAGCUCUGCUAGUGGUACAAGAUUUCCCUCUGUUCUCUAGCUGAGAAAUCACAAUUUUUAAUGAUGAAAAACCAAGCAAAAAUCCAGGACAUCUUAAAACCAUUAAAGAGGACCACUGAAGAAGCCAUGUGGUUUUGCUCAGCUGCAGAGAAAUCUCUCAUUGACUUGGGAUGGAGAGACAAGGGCAGCUUGGGAGAAUUUUGCUAUAUUUCAUGCUGAUCCUGUAGUGUUCAGAGGAAGUUUUUCUCAAGUCCUCUCCAGCCACAACAUUGGUUGCUUGGUGAUGGUGUUGAUACUGCAAGCGUAGGAGUAGAGAGUCCCCAGCUGUGGCAGGGCUGAGAUCUGCACCCUGAGCCCCAGUUAAGCUCCUGGCUCCUGCAUACCUCUGAGGCUGCAGCGUUUCUACUCCCCCCUUCAUCACUUCAGUGUCAAAGGUGGGUUCCAAACUUUGUCAUCUUUACAAAGGGCUCAGAGACCCCCAGCAAGCUGCUCUGGAUGCAGGCAACAAGGCUUGUUUCAUCCUGCCUAUGCGACGUGCCAUCUCCUCCAGUCAUCUCCACUAAUCUCAUUAAAGCUCUGUUUUUAUGAGUUGGAGAUUUGUAAUUUUGGUGUUGUUGUUGCUGCUAGUGUUGGAGCUCUGCAUCAGAGCUCAUUCUUGUAAUUAAUGUGACAGAUCUUGAACUAGUACGUCAAAACAGCACGGUUGAGGCAGAAAAGCACUGGAAAGAUCAUCUUUAAUCAAACAGCAGUGAUUCACAUUUAACCGGGUAGAUGGGAAGUCCUCUACCUCGCUGGCUCUGAGCGAGGCUUCCCUAAGGACACGGUCUUAAAAGUUUUGCUCAGCUUCCUGGGCUCCACCACUUGGGCUUUUUGAUGGAAACUCUUUAAAAUGCCAUUUCUGUCAGCGUGUCAGAGCUGUAGCUGGGAAGCUCUGAACACUAGCAAUUCUUUUCAUACUUAUUUUCUAGAAGCUGUACAAAAAAGAGAAAUGUAAGGGAGACAAUCUUGAUUUGAAGCUCCCGAAGCCAAACUGUCAGUUGGGUGGAAAUCCUUUGUUUCGGGAGUCCCAGCCCUUUGUUCCCCAGACUCCCUCCAUCUUUCUGCAAAGGCUUUGUGAAUACUAAUGGAAAACACGCACAUCCCCAUGCCUCCAGCUGGGCCUGAGUAACUGGGAGCUUUGAGGCAGACGUGUGGGAACUGGGAGUAUGUUCACUGGUCAGUUACAAUGCCUUCUGACACUGCACAGUUCUAUCACUUAGAGGCAUCCAGUGCUUGGGAAGGCUUUGAAAUUUGCCAAGCUAAUAACAGCCCUCUCCAGAGUUCUGGCAUGCAGGUUACCAGAACCUCAGAUUAAUGGCAGUAUUCUUAUAUUGCCAUAAAUAAACUUUCAUUCUUG